GAUACCCGAAUGGGGAAACCCAGUGUGACUCGUCACACUAUCAUUAACUGAAUCCAUAGGUUAAUGAGGCGAACCGGGGGAACUGAAACAUCUAAGUACCCCGAGGAAAAGAAAUCAACCGAGAUUCCCCCAGUAGCGGCGAGCGAACGGGGAGGAGCCCAGAGCCUGAAUCAGCAUGUGUGUUAGUGGAAGCGUCUGGAAAGGCGCGCGAUACAGGGUGACAGCCCCGUACACAAAAGCGCAUGUGCUGUGAGCUCGAUGAGUAGGGCGGGACACGUGGUAUCCUGUCUGAAUAUGGGGGGACCAUCCUCCAAGGCUAAAUACUCCUGACUGACCGAUAGUGAACCAGUACCGUGAGGGAAAGGCGAAAAGAACCCCGGCGAGGGGAGUGAAAAAGAACCUGAAACCGU
This 410-nucleotide ribosomal RNA is filed under the name Salmonella enterica. RNAcentral's name for it is "partial 23S ribosomal RNA". It matches the Rfam family "Bacterial large subunit ribosomal RNA", at positions 109 to 559 of the family's 2925-position model. Lineage: Bacteria; Pseudomonadati; Pseudomonadota; Gammaproteobacteria; Enterobacterales; Enterobacteriaceae. The record is from RNAcentral. RNAcentral also lists the same sequence under 3 other names.